GGACCCACCUGAAUCCAUUCCGAACUCAGAAGUGAAACGAAAUAGCGUCGAUGGUAGUGUGGGGUUUCCCCAUGUGAGAGUAGAACAUCGCCAGGCU
RNAcentral lists this ribosomal RNA (97 nucleotides) under Vibrio fluvialis. Lineage: Bacteria; Pseudomonadati; Pseudomonadota; Gammaproteobacteria; Vibrionales; Vibrionaceae. The record is from RNAcentral.